GUGCCAGCCGCCGCGGUACUACCGGCAGCACGAGUGAUGGCCGAUUUUAUUGGGCCUAAAGCGUCCGUAGCUUGCUGUGUAAGUCCAUUGGGAAAUCCACGCGCUCAACGCGUGGGCGUCCGGUGGAAACUGCACGGCUUGGGGCCGAGAGACUCGACGGGUACGUCCGGGGUAGGAGUGAAAUCCUAUAAUCCUGGACGGACCACCAAUGGGGAAACCACGUCGAGAGACCGGACCCGACAGUGAGGGACGAAGGCUAGGGUCUCGAACCGGAUUAGAAACCCUUGUAGUCC
Molecule: ribosomal RNA, 293 nt
Filed under: uncultured bacterium
Lineage: Bacteria
Description: partial 16S ribosomal RNA
Rfam family: Archaeal small subunit ribosomal RNA
Source: RNAcentral